AACUGAAGAGUUUGAUCAUGGCUCAGAUUGAACGCUGGCGGCAGGCUUAACACAUGCAAGUCGAGCGGGGGAAGGUAGCUUGCUACUGGACCUAGCGGCGGACGGGUGAGUAAUGCUUAGGAAUCUGCCUAUUAGUGGGGGACAACAUCUCGAAAGGGAUGCUAAUACCGCAUACGUCCUACGGGAGAAAGC
Molecule: ribosomal RNA, 192 nt
Filed under: Acinetobacter baumannii ABNIH15
Lineage: Bacteria; Pseudomonadati; Pseudomonadota; Gammaproteobacteria; Moraxellales; Moraxellaceae
Description: partial 16S ribosomal RNA
Rfam family: Bacterial small subunit ribosomal RNA
Source: RNAcentral